This 437-nucleotide ribosomal RNA is filed under the name uncultured bacterium. RNAcentral describes it as "bacterial SSU rRNA". It matches the Rfam family "Bacterial small subunit ribosomal RNA", at positions 376 to 803 of the family's 1533-position model. The record is from RNAcentral.
CGAAAGGGUGACGAAGCGACGCCGCGUGUGGGAAGAAGGCCUUCGGGUUGUAAACCACUGUCAGGAGUUAAGAAGUGUAAGGAUACUAAUAGUGUCCUUACUUGACUAAGGCUCCAGAGGAAGCCACGGCUAACUCUGUGCCAGCAGCCGCGGUAAUACAGAGGUGGCAAGCGUUGUUCGGAAUUAUUGGGCGUAAAGAGCACGUAGGCGGCCCUGCAAGUCAGCUGUGAAAGCCUCCCGCUCAACGGGAGAACAGCAGUUGAUACUACAGGUCUAGAGUGCGGGAGGGGAGAGUGGAACUUCUGGUGGAGCGGUGAAAUGCGUAGAUAUCAGAAGGAACACCGGCGGCGAAGGCGACUCUCUGGUCCGUAACUGACGCUGAGUGUGCGAAAGCUAGGGGAGCAAACGGGAUUAGAUACCCCGGUAGUCCUAGCCGU